UCCCUCCCAAAAUCACACUUUGGGUCAAAGAGGAUGACUUUCCCUUAUAAAGGAGGACCAUCUUUUGGUCAAGGGUAUAUAAGUAUCUGUAUUCCCCUGCUAAAAACUUCUAAACACGUUCUCAAAACUUCUGCUGAGGGGCUAGGGAGAUGGAGU
This 156-nucleotide small RNA is filed under the name Nannospalax galili (Upper Galilee mountains blind mole rat). RNAcentral describes it as "7SK RNA (ENSNGAG00000002518.1)". It matches the Rfam family "7SK RNA", at positions 116 to 273 of the family's 331-position model. Rfam says of the family: 7SK was discovered as an abundant small nuclear RNA in the mid-70s but a possible function has only recently been suggested. Two independent studies have found that 7SK RNA binds the CDK9/cyclin T complex (known as elongation factor P-TEFb). Lineage: Eukaryota; Metazoa; Chordata; Mammalia; Rodentia; Spalacidae. The record is from RNAcentral.